AGUGAACGCUGGCGGUAGGCCUAACACAUGCAAGUCGAACGGCAGCACAGGAGGGCUUGCUCUCUGGGUGGCGAGUGGCGGACGGGUGAGGAAUACAUCGGAAUCUACUCUGUCGUGGGGGAUAACGUAGGGAAACUUACGCUAAUACCGCAUACGACCUACGGGUGAAAGCAGGGGACCUUCGGGCCUUGCGCGAUUGAAUGAGCCGAUGUCUGAUUAGCUAGUUGGCGGGGUAAAGGCCCACCAAGGCGACGAUCCGUAGCUGGUCUGAGAGGAUGAUCAGCCACACUGGAACUGAGACACGGUCCAGACUCCUACGGGAGGCAGCAGUGGGGAAUAUUGGACAAUGGGCGCAAGCCUGAUCCAGCCAUACCGCGUGGGUGAAGAAGGCCUUCGGGUUGUAAAGCCCUUUUGUUGGGAAAGAAAUCCAGCUGGCUAAUACCCGGUUGGGAUGACGGUACCCAAAGAAUAAGCACCGGCUAACUUCGUGCCAGCCGCCGCGGUAA
RNAcentral lists this ribosomal RNA (506 nucleotides) under uncultured bacterium. RNAcentral's name for it is "partial 16S ribosomal RNA". It matches the Rfam family "Bacterial small subunit ribosomal RNA", at positions 29 to 523 of the family's 1533-position model. The record is from RNAcentral.